GAUGAACGCUGGCGGCGUGCCUAAUACAUGCAAGUCGAGCGAACAGAUGAGGAGCUUGCUCCUCUGACGUUAGCGGCGGACGGGUGAGUAACACGUGGAUAACCUACCUAUAAGACUGGGAUAACUUCGGGAAACCGGAGCUAAUACCGGAUAAUAUAUUGAACCGCAUGGUUCAAUAGUGAAAGACGGUUUUGCUGUCACUUAUAGAUGGAUCCGCGCCGCAUUAGCUAGUUGGUAAGGUGACGGCUUACCAAGGCAACGAUGCGUAGCCGACCUGAGAGGGUGAUCGGCCACACUGGAACUGAGACACGGUCCAGACUCCUACGGGAGGCAGCAGUAGGGAAUCUUCCGCAAUGGGCGAAAGCCUGACGGAGCAACGCCGCGUGAGUGAUGAAGGUCUUCGGAUCGUAAAACUCUGUUAUUAGGGAAGAACAACUGUGUAAGUAACUAUGCACGUCUUGACGGUACCUAAUCAGAAAGCCACGGCUAACUACGUG
RNAcentral lists this ribosomal RNA (497 nucleotides) under uncultured bacterium. RNAcentral describes it as "partial 16S ribosomal RNA". It matches the Rfam family "Bacterial small subunit ribosomal RNA", at positions 28 to 507 of the family's 1533-position model. The record is from RNAcentral.